CAGAUAUUAUAUUUUCGGCGAACCCCUUCUAUAAGGAUACCCCUUCUAGCUUUAAAACCCCUUCUAGUUUCUCAACCCCUUCUAACCCCUUCUUAAAAACCAACACUAAAUUCACAAAAUAAAACACCAGGAAAAUUCACUAAAUAAAUUCCCCCAAAUCAGAGAUAAACAACUUAAUAGUUCAUAGCAAACACCCAAAUUUAAAAGCCAACACUAAAUUCACAAACUAAAACACCCGCAAAAUUCACUAAAUAAAAACCCUAACAAGAAGAAGAAGAAGAAUUCAAAUCGAAACAGACAAAAUAAUAAAGAAGAAAUAACCUUGUGUUACGGAAAUGCGUGAAGAAGAAGAUGAAAAACACUGUUUGUGGUUGUACUUGAAUGGAAAUGACGAAGAAGAGAAGGGGUUAGACUAGAAGGGGUACAUGGGAUAGAAGGGGG
Molecule: long non-coding RNA, 441 nt
Filed under: Trifolium pratense (red clover)
Lineage: Eukaryota; Viridiplantae; Streptophyta; Magnoliopsida; Fabales; Fabaceae
Description: long non-coding RNA (TPRA_LNC006272)
Source: RNAcentral